UACAUAGGGUGCAAGCGUUGUCCGGAAUUAUUGGGCGUAAAGAGCUCGUAGGUGGCUCGUCACGUCGAAUGUGAAACCCUGAGGCUCAACCUCAGGCCUGCAUCCGAUACGGGCGAACUGGAGUGUGGUAGGGGAGACUGGAAUUCCUGGUGUAGCGGUGGAAUGCGCAGAUAUCAGGAGGAACACCAAUGGCGAAGGCAGGUCUCUGGGCCACUACUGACACUGAGGAGCGAAAGCGUGGGGAGCAAACAGGAUUAGAUACCCUGGUAGUCCACGCUGUAAACGGUGGGCACUAGUUGUGGGAACCUUCCACGGUUUCUGCGACGCAGCUAACGCAUUAAGUGCCCCGCCUGGGGAGUACGAUCGCAAGAUUA
RNAcentral lists this ribosomal RNA (374 nucleotides) under uncultured prokaryote. RNAcentral's name for it is "bacterial SSU rRNA". It matches the Rfam family "Bacterial small subunit ribosomal RNA", at positions 524 to 896 of the family's 1533-position model. The record is from RNAcentral.